CCAAUAGCGUAUAUUAAAGUUGCUGCAGUUAAAAAGCUCGUAGUUGAAUUUCGGGACUAAUAUGUCGGUCGUGCCUCGGUACGUACUGGUAUUUUUGGUUUCUCCCUUCUGACGAACCUUGAUGUCAUUAAUUUGGUGUCUUGGGAAAUCAGGACUGUUACUUUGAAAAAAUUAGAGUGUUUAAAGCAGGCUCACGCUUGAAUACAUUCGCAUGGAAUAAUGAAAUAGGACGUUUGAUUCUAUUUUGUUGGUUUCUAGGAUCGACGUAAUGAUUAAUAGGGAUAGUUGGGGGCAUUAGUAUUCAAUUGUCAGAGGUGAAAUUCUUGGAUUUAUUGAAGACUAACUACUGCGAAAGCAUUUGCCAAGGAUGUUUUCAUUAAUCAAGAACGAAAGUUAGGGGAUCGAAGACGAUCAGAUACCGUCGUAGUCUUAACCAUAAACUAUGCCGACUAGGGAUCGGAUGAUGUUAAUUUUUUAAUGACUCAUUCGGCGCCUUACG
This 499-nucleotide unclassified non-coding RNA is filed under the name uncultured Glomus. RNAcentral describes it as "SSU rRNA". It matches the Rfam family "Eukaryotic small subunit ribosomal RNA", at positions 591 to 1092 of the family's 1831-position model. Lineage: Eukaryota; Fungi; Glomeromycota; Glomeromycetes; Glomerales; Glomeraceae. The record is from RNAcentral.